This 1897-nucleotide unclassified non-coding RNA is filed under the name Hevea brasiliensis (rubber tree). The record is from RNAcentral. Lineage: Eukaryota; Viridiplantae; Streptophyta; Magnoliopsida; Malpighiales; Euphorbiaceae.
UUUUACAAGAAUUCAAUUCAAUUGGUUUUGGUCUAUUCUCAUUUUUGGAAUGAAAGAAUUCAAUUAUUUUUAACUUAACAAAAUUUUUCAUUUUAAAAGAAAUAGAUUCAUGCAUGAUUGUGCGAGUCUUUCUUGCAAAUGAUUUAUUCCAAUGGAAGCCUUAAUGAACUUUCUCCUUCAAUGACUAUGCAAGUUCUAACAGCAUCUAGCAAAUGAUGUAGAAUAUGAAAUCCAGCUGCUAAGAGAAUAUUUCAAUAGAGCAAGAUACCCGGAAUAAUAGUACAUGAAUACAAUACAAUAAGCGCACAUUUCAAGCCUGUUGCACUGGCAGAAAUGUUUAAUGUCUGCAAUCAAAGAGCCUCAAAGAACCGGAUAUGGUCCUCAAAUGUCUCCCCGUGCCGUAUUUUGGCCACUGAUCCAUCCUCUUCGACCCAGUACUCAGGAGGGCGCAUCUUCAGAUUGUAUGUUGAUGCCAUACUCAUGCAAUAAGCACCAGCAUCAUGGACAACCAAACCAGCUCCUUUAGAUGGAGUUGGAAGUUCUCUAUCCUUUCCUAAGAAAUCAGCAGAUUCACAAACAGGACCCACCACAUCAAAAGUUGAAAUGUCAGCAUUAGUUGGUGCGGGAGAAACAAGCUCAAUGUGCUGUAACAAAACAUUGAAAAGUCUAUUUAUUAGAAAAAAAAAGGAACACUAUGUAGAAACCAAACAGUAUUCGAGUGCGAGGAAGUAGGAGGGUUGGGUGGUGUGAUUGCUACUUAAGGAGAGAUGAAUACAUAAUUCAGAGGAAAGCCACUUUGCCAGCUUGAUUCUCUUUAAAAAUUGGAUCACUUUAUUACCGCAUAUGUCUGACAUCGUGCAGGAAAAUAAGCAAUGCUAGAAUUUCUCACACAUGCUUAGGCUGCAAUAGCUGCCAACUUAAAAGAAUGUAAAACAAUAGUUCACAAACCCAAAUUGUUUUUAAGGCACAGUUUAGUGCCCCAAAAAAACUGAACUGAGAAGCAGGUUAGCAAAUAAUAAGCAUGCCUGUAACCAAGUAUGAGAUGAAGGAAACAUCUAAAACAGUAUUUCCCAGCAACAUUGUCUAAAUAAUAAAAAUGGUAUAAUAAACAUGCCUAUAAUUAAGUCCAAGAUGAAGAGAAACAUUCAAAUAGCGGUGCUCCCAACAAAAUUAUCUUGUAUAACUGAUAAAAAUAGUAAUUACUAAAAAUUAUGCUCCUAUAGAUGCUAUUAUGAAGACAUGAGAAUGAGAUAGAGAGAGUGAGAAAUAAUAUUUAAUCAAUAGAUGAGAACAGUAUUAUUUUCAACUGAUGAACCACAAAUCUCCACUACUUGGUUAUAGUACUUGAUAAGAAGCCUAAAACAAUAUAAACGAGCUUUUGCCUUUGAAUUAAGGGUAAAAUAUUUUAAUACAGCAUCUCCAGAUUUAAAAAAAAAAAAAGUAACAAUGGUAAUAAUUUAUGAGAUUAGCUAGACUCAUGAGAGGGCGAAGCUUAGCAGAAGAAGACAAGACUCAUGCGGUCAAAUGAAAUUGUUCUACAGUCUUAAAAAAAAAAAAAAAAACCUAUAAUCUUACACGAUUACAACUCUUCCAUUAAAAUUUCAAGACAUAGCAGAGCAUUUGGAUAAUGAACCCAUAGGCAUAGCAACUAAAAUCUCCUAAUGAGAAAACCCCAAAAUUUAUCUUGCAUGCUAUUAUGAAAUUCCAAUAAAUUUCUUAUCAUUUCUCGCAUCGUCCGCUGAUCCAACAAGGGUUUAUAAAAUUGAUUGCAAACAAAAAAAUAAGAAAUAACACCCUCUACCUCUAUUCUGAAAAUAGAGUCGAAGAGAUGAAUGGAAACCGACAAAACCCAAAAUAAGAAAACUACAGCUAUCAACCAAUAAAAAUCAAGUCAAAU